CGCAUCUGUGCAUGCAGCAUAUCAAUAAGCGGAGGAAAAGAAACUAACAAGGAUUCCCCUAGUAACGGCGAGUGAAGCGGGAGGAGCUCAAAUUUGAAAUCUUAAAGGGUUUCCCUUUACGAAUUGAAGUUUAAAGAAGUGUUUUCUGUUGAGGUUUUGGUAAAAGUUCUUUGGAAUAGGACAUCAUAGAGGGUGAGAAUCCCGUAUUUGACCUUUACUUUCAACUUUGUGAUACACUUUCAAAGAGUCGGAUUGUUUGGGAAUGCAGUCCAAAAUGGGUGGUAAAUUUCAUCUAAAGCUAAAUAUUGGCGAGAGACCGAUAGCGAACAAGUACCGUGAGGGAAAGAUGAAAAGAACUUUGAAAAGAGAGUUAAACAGUACGUGAAAUUGUCAAAAGGGAAGCGUUUGACACCAGUGUUGUUUUUCUGAAAAUCAAUUAAAGAACUGUUUAUGCUAAGUUGUUUAGACUUUAUCAGCUAACUGUUUAGUUUUAGGCUUUUCUUUAAUGCACUUUUCAGUUAACAAGUCAACAUCAAUUUCUUUUGCUGUAAAAAAGCUUGAGGAAGGUGGCUUGAGAUUCGUCUUAAGUGUUUAUAGCCUCUUGCCUAUGCAGUCGGAGAGAUUGAGGUCUGCAGCGUAGAUCCUUCGGGGCUGAAUGCAUUUGUGCUAAGUUAUAGCAUUUUAUAGACAACUUGUUGACUAUGAUUUGUCUUGUAGCUUACUCGCUUAUGUUAUUUUACCUACGCUUAGGAUGUUGACAGCAGUAUAGACUGU
This 774-nucleotide ribosomal RNA is filed under the name uncultured Neocallimastigales. RNAcentral describes it as "partial large subunit ribosomal RNA". It matches the Rfam family "Eukaryotic large subunit ribosomal RNA", at positions 26 to 637 of the family's 3401-position model. The record is from RNAcentral. Lineage: Eukaryota; Fungi; Neocallimastigomycota; Neocallimastigomycetes; Neocallimastigales.